GACGAACGCUGGCGGCGUGCUUAACACAUGCAAGUCGAACGCUGAAGCUCAGCUUUUGUUGGGUGGAUGAGUGGCGAACGGGUGAGUAACACGUGAGUAACCUGCCCCCUUCUUUGGGAUAACGCCCGGAAACGGGUGCUAAUACCGGAUAUUCACUGGUCUUCGCGUGGGGGUUGGUGGAAAGGGGUUUUCUGGUGGGGGAUGGGCUCGCGGCCUAUCUGCUUGUUGGUGGGGUUAUGGCCUACCAAGGCUUUGACGGGUAGCCGGCCUGAGAGGGUGACCGGUCACAUUGGGACUGAGAUACGGCCCAGACUCCUACGGGAGGCAGCAGUGGGGAAUAUUGCACAAUGGGCGCAAGCCUGAUGCAGCGACGCCGCGUGAGGGAUGGAGGCCUUCGGGUUGUGAACCUCUUUCGCUCAUGGUCAAGCCGCAACAAUGGUUGUGGUGAGGGUAGUGGGUAAAGAAGCGCCGGCUAACUACGUG
This 483-nucleotide ribosomal RNA is filed under the name uncultured bacterium. Its description in RNAcentral is "partial 16S ribosomal RNA". It matches the Rfam family "Bacterial small subunit ribosomal RNA", at positions 28 to 507 of the family's 1533-position model. The record is from RNAcentral.